This 465-nucleotide ribosomal RNA is filed under the name Vreelandella stevensii. RNAcentral describes it as "partial 16S ribosomal RNA". It matches the Rfam family "Bacterial small subunit ribosomal RNA", at positions 338 to 795 of the family's 1533-position model. The record is from RNAcentral. Lineage: Bacteria; Pseudomonadati; Pseudomonadota; Gammaproteobacteria; Oceanospirillales; Halomonadaceae.
CCUACGGGGGGCAGCAGUGGGGAAUAUUGGACAAUGGGGGGAACCCUGAUCCAGCCAUGCCGCGUGUGUGAAGAAGGCCCUCGGGUUGUAAAGCACUUUCAGUGAGGAAGAACGCCUGGUGGUUAAUACCCAUCAGGAAAGACAUCACUCACAGAAGAAGCACCGGCUAACUCCGUGCCAGCAGCCGCGGUAAUACGGAGGGUGCGAGCGUUAAUCGGAAUUACUGGGCGUAAAGCGCGCGUAGGUGGCUUGAUAAGCCGGUUGUGAAAGCCCCGGGCUCAACCUGGGAUCGGCAUCCGGAACUGUCAAGCUAGAGUGCAGGAGAGGAAGGUAGAAUUCCCGGUGUAGCGGUGAAAUGCGUAGAGAUCGGGAGGAAUACCAGUGGCGAAGGCGGCCUUCUGGACUGACACUGACACUGAGGUGCGAAAGCGUGGGUAGCAAACAGGAUUAGAUACCCUUGUAGUC